UGAGGAAUAUUGGUCAAUGGGCGAGAGCCUGAACCAGCCACGUCGCGUGAAGGAAGACUGACCUUACGGUUUGUAAACUUCUUUUGUAGAGGGGUAAUGGCAGAUACGUGUAUUUGCGUGAAAGUACUCUACGAAUAAGCAUCGGCUAACUCCGUGCCAGCAGCCGCGGUAAUACGGGGGAUGCGAGCGUUAUCCGGAAUUAUUGGGUUUAAAGGGUGCGCAGGUGGCUAAUCAGGUCAGUGGUGAAAAGCUAUGGCUCAACCAUGGUCUUGCCAUUGAAACCGUAUAGCUAGAGAGGAAACGAGGUAGGCGGAAUGUGUGGUGUAGCGGUGAAAUGCAUAGAUAUCACACAGAACUCCGAUUGCGAAGGCAGCUUACCAGGCUUUAUCUGACACUUAGGCACGACAGCGUGGGGAUCAAACAGG
RNAcentral lists this ribosomal RNA (425 nucleotides) under Verrucomicrobiota bacterium. Its description in RNAcentral is "Verrucomicrobia bacterium partial 16S ribosomal RNA". It matches the Rfam family "Bacterial small subunit ribosomal RNA", at positions 355 to 776 of the family's 1533-position model. The record is from RNAcentral. Lineage: Bacteria; Pseudomonadati; Verrucomicrobiota.